Molecule: ribosomal RNA, 436 nt
Filed under: Nigidius delegorguei
Lineage: Eukaryota; Metazoa; Arthropoda; Insecta; Coleoptera; Lucanidae
Description: partial 16S ribosomal RNA
Rfam family: Bacterial large subunit ribosomal RNA
Source: RNAcentral
UUUAAGAUUUGACCUGCCCUAUGAUUAUUUAAAUGGCCGCGGUAUAUUGACCGUGCAAAGGUAGCAUAAUCAUUAGUUUUUUAAUUGAAAGCUGGAAUGAAUGGUUUGACAAGAAAAUAUCUGUCUCUACUUUAUUUUUAGAAUUUUAUUUUUGAGUGAGAACGCUUAAAUGGAGUUAAGGGACGAGAAGACCCUUUAGAAUUUUAUGUGAUUAUAAGUUAAGAUUUAAGGUAAGAUUGGUUUAAGCUUAUGGAGUGCAUUUUGUUGGGGUGAUUGAAAAAUUUAAUAAACUUUUUUUUUAUUAAUACACUGAUUAGUGAUUGUUUGAUCCAUGUUUUAUGAUUAUAAGAUUAAAUUACCUAAGGGAUAACAGCGUUAUUAAUUCGUAGAGUUCUAAUUGAUGAAUUAGUUUGCGACCUCGAUGUUGGAUUAAAAU